UACGUAGGGCGCAAGCGUUGUCCGGAAUUAUUGGGCGUAAAGAGCUCGUAGGCGGCUUGUUGCGUCAGCUGUGAAAACCCGCAGCUCAACUGUGGGCUUGCAGCUGAUACGGGCAGGCUUGAGUUCGGUAGGGGAGACUGGAAUUCCUGGUGUAGCGGUGAAAUGCGCAGAUAUCAGGAGGAACACCGGUGGCGAAGGCGGUUCUCUGGGCCUUACCUGACGCUGGAGGAGCGGAAAGCAUGGGGAGCAAACACGG
RNAcentral lists this ribosomal RNA (256 nucleotides) under uncultured bacterium. RNAcentral's name for it is "partial 16S ribosomal RNA". It matches the Rfam family "Bacterial small subunit ribosomal RNA", at positions 524 to 777 of the family's 1533-position model. The record is from RNAcentral.